This 407-nucleotide ribosomal RNA is filed under the name uncultured bacterium. RNAcentral's name for it is "partial 16S ribosomal RNA". It matches the Rfam family "Bacterial small subunit ribosomal RNA", at positions 30 to 526 of the family's 1533-position model. The record is from RNAcentral.
AUUGAACGCUGGCGGCAGGCCUAACACAUGCAAGUCGAGCGGAGCGGCGGACGGGUGAGUAAUGCCUAGGAAUCUGCCUGGUAGUGGGGGAUAACGUCCGGAAACGGGCGCUAAUACCGCAUACUAUCAGAUGAGCCUAGGUCGGAUUAGCUAGUUGGUGGGGUAAAGGCCUACCAAGGCGACGAUCCGUAACUGGUCUGAGAGGAUGAUCAGUCACACGGGAACUUAGACACGGUCACGGGUCCUGAGGGAUGUAGCAGAGGGGAAUAUUGGACAAUGGGGGAAAGGAUGGUCCAGCCGUGGCGAGUAUGUUAAGAAGGUGUGCGGAUUGUAAUGAACUUUAAGUUGGGAGGCGGUACCAGCAGAAUAAGCACCGGCUAACUUCGUGCCAGCAGCAGAGGUAAUAC